This 501-nucleotide ribosomal RNA is filed under the name uncultured bacterium. RNAcentral describes it as "partial 16S ribosomal RNA". It matches the Rfam family "Bacterial small subunit ribosomal RNA", at positions 30 to 523 of the family's 1533-position model. The record is from RNAcentral.
AUUGAACGCUGGCGGCAGGCUUAACACAUGCAAGUCGAGCGGAGAGAGGUAGCUUGCUACUGAUCUUAGCGGCGGACGGGUGAGUAAUGCUUAGGAAUCUGCCUAUUAGUGGGGGACAACAUUUCGAAAGGAAUGCUAAUACCGCAUACGUCCUACGGGAGAAAGCAGGGGAUCUUCGGACCUUGCGCUAAUAGAUGAGCCUAAGUCGGGUUAGCUAGUUGGUGGGGUAAAGGCCUACCAAGGCGACGAGCUGUAGCGGGUCUGAGAGGAUGAUCCGCUACACUGGGACUGAGACACGGCCCAGACUCCUACGGGAGGCAGCAGUGGGGAAUAUUGGACAAUGGGCGGAAGUCUGAUCCAGCCAUGCCGCGUGUGUGAAGAAGGCCUUAUGGUUGUAAAGCACUUUAAGCGAGGAGGAGGCUACUUUAGUUAAUACCUAGAGAUAGUGGACGUUACUCGCAGAAUAAGCACCGGCUAACUCUGUGCCAGCCGCCGCAGUAA